Molecule: ribosomal RNA, 253 nt
Filed under: uncultured bacterium
Lineage: Bacteria
Description: partial 16S ribosomal RNA
Rfam family: Bacterial small subunit ribosomal RNA
Source: RNAcentral
UACGGGGGGGGCAAGCGUUGUUCGGAAUUACUGGGCGUAAAGGGCUCGUAGGCGGCCAACUAAGUCAGACGUGAAAUCCCUCGGCUUAACCGGGGAACUGCGUCUGAUACUGGAUGGCUGGAGUUUGGGAGAGGGAUGCGGAAUUCCAGGUGUAGCGGUGAAAUGCGUAGAUAUCUGGAGGAACACCGGUGGCGAAGGCGGCAUCCUGGACCGGCAUUGACGCUGAGGCGCGAAAGCCAGGGGAGCAAACGGG